AUUACUAUGUUUUGUACUCCAAAACUCUCCUACUUCAUGACCUCUCUUGAUUCUUGCCGAUGCAAUUUUUUUUGUUUAAGUAAACAAUAUGAAUGAUAUUUGUGACUUUUGUUGAACUAAUUAUAAAAAUAUUUAAUUUAAGUAUCAAUUUAGUCAUCUGCACUGAAAUAAUGAAGUGGUUUUUUUAAUUGGUAGGAUGAUUUAUUUAAUUUUAAAUACAUAUAAUUAAAUAUGUAUAUAUAUAAUCAAAGUAAGAAAGAACUCUCUCUCUCUCUCUUUAUAUUUCCAAGGCCUUUGUAUUUUUGGGAUGGGGUCCAAGAACAUGAAAAAUAAUGGCGAAUCCAACAAGAGUGUUGGUGAUGGGCAAGAUUGAGAGAUUAAGAAAGGGAAUGAGCUUGAUUUUGGGUUCGAGAAUAGGUAAUGAAAGCCGGUUUUUUGUGAAGCUUCCAUGUCGCAAGGGCCUCAUAAGAAGAUUAUUCAUAGCCCUCAAUGUCUAGAACCUGUUUGAUCAAUUGAUUCAAUGGUGGAUCAGUUGUCUUCCUUACCUUCUAGUUUGCCUUCUUUAAUGCUUUCUUUACCUUAUUCGUCUUCUUCUAAUGCUUCUUUGCUUUCUUUGAGAUUGGUUUUCCCUUUCGCUUUUAACGCAACUCAGAAUCUGAUUUACUAUCGGCCAUCACCAUAAAGUCGGCAACAAAUGAUUUCACUUAGUCCUCGAUUGCAGCAACAUGGUUUUCUUAGUCCACGAUGUAUUUUUUUAUCAGAUAAUUUUAAACAAUUAUUAUGAUUUUUUUAAUAUUUUAUUAUAUUUUAUAGAGUACUUGUCAAUCUCUAAUCUUGUUUGUACAAUUUAAAA
Molecule: long non-coding RNA, 853 nt
Organism: Gossypium arboreum
Lineage: Eukaryota; Viridiplantae; Streptophyta; Magnoliopsida; Malvales; Malvaceae
Exons: 2
Source: RefSeq, a predicted model, not a curated record